RNAcentral lists this ribosomal RNA (683 nucleotides) under uncultured Hyphomicrobiales bacterium. RNAcentral describes it as "bacterial SSU rRNA". It matches the Rfam family "Bacterial small subunit ribosomal RNA", at positions 9 to 720 of the family's 1533-position model. The record is from RNAcentral. Lineage: Bacteria; Pseudomonadati; Pseudomonadota; Alphaproteobacteria; Hyphomicrobiales.
GAGUUUGAUCAUGGCUCAGAAUGAACGCUGGCGGCAGGCCUAACACAUGCAAGUCGAACGGAGUUAUAUUGUAGCUUGCUAUGGUAUAACUUAGUGGCAGACGGGUGAGUAAUGUAUAGGAAUCUACCUAGUAGUACGGAAUAAUUGUUGGAAACGGCAACUAAUACCGUAUACGCCCUACGGGGGAAAAAUUUAUUGCUAUUAGAUGAGCCUAUAUUAGAUUAGUUAGUUGGUGAGGUAAAGGCUUACCAAGACAAUGAUCUAUAGCUGAUCUGAGAGGAUGAUCAGCCACACUGGAACUGAGAUACGGUCCAGACUCCUACGGGAGGCAGCAGUGGGGAAUAUUGGACAAUGGGCGAAAGCCUGAUCCAGCCAUGCCGCAUGAGUGAAGAAGGCCUUCGGGUUGUAAAGCUCUUUUAGUGAGGAAGAUAAUGACGGUACUCACAGAAGAAGUCCUGGCUAACUCCGUGCCAGCAGCCGCGGUAAUACGGAGAGGGCUAGCGUUAUUCGGAAUCAUUGGGCGUAAAGGGCGCGUAGGCGGGUUAGUAAGUUAAAAGUGAAAUCCCAAGGCUCAACCUUGGAACUGCUUUUAAAACUGCUAGUCUAGAGAUUGAAAGAGGAUAGAGGAAUUCCUAGUGUAGAGAUGAAAUUCGUAAAUAUUAGGAGGAACACCAGUGGCGAAG